Molecule: ribosomal RNA, 450 nt
Filed under: uncultured bacterium
Lineage: Bacteria
Description: partial 16S ribosomal RNA
Rfam family: Bacterial small subunit ribosomal RNA
Source: RNAcentral
GUGGGGAAUAUUGGACAAUGGGCGAAAGCCUGAUCCAGCCAUGCCGCGUGUGUGAAGAAGGUCUUCGGAUUGUAAAGCACUUUAAGUUGGGAGGAAGGGCAGUAAGUUAAUACCUUGCUGUUUUGACGUUACCGACAGAAUAAGCACCGGCUAACUUCGUGCCAGCAGCCGCGGUAAUACGAAGGGUGCAAGCGUUAAUCGGAAUUACUGGGCGUAAAGCGCGCGUAGGUGGUUCAGCAAGUUGAAGGUGAAAUCCCCGGGCUCAACCUGGGAACUGCCGCCAACACUACUGAGCUAGAGGACGGUAGAGGGUAGUGGAAUUUCCUGUGUAGCGGUGAAAUGCGUAGAUAUAGGAAGGAACACCAGUAGCGAAGGCGACUACCUGGACUGAUACUGACACUGAGGCGCGAAAGCGUGGGGAGCAAACAGGAUUAGAAACCCCGGUAGUCC